UACAGAGGUCUCAAGCGUUGUUCGGAUUCAUUGGGCGUAAAGGGUGCGUAGGCGGCGUGGUAAGUCGGAUGUGAAAUCUCGGAGCUUAACUCCGAAACUGCAUUCGAUACUGGCGUGCUUGAGGACUGGAGAGGAGACUGGAAUUCAUGGUGUAGCAGUGAAAUGCGUAGAGAUCAUGAGGAAGACCAGUGGCGAAGGCGGGUCUCUGGACAGUUCCUGACACUGAGACACGAAGGCCAGGGGAGCAAACGGG
This 253-nucleotide ribosomal RNA is filed under the name uncultured bacterium. RNAcentral describes it as "partial 16S ribosomal RNA". It matches the Rfam family "Bacterial small subunit ribosomal RNA", at positions 524 to 776 of the family's 1533-position model. The record is from RNAcentral.